This 273-nucleotide small RNA is filed under the name Arabidopsis thaliana (thale cress). Its description in RNAcentral is "ATSL098000". The record is from RNAcentral. Lineage: Eukaryota; Viridiplantae; Streptophyta; Magnoliopsida; Brassicales; Brassicaceae.
AAACAAACUAUUUUAAUUUUGGACACCUCAUAAAUCAAGUUUCAUGCUCAUUCGUAAUCGAAAUCAUUUUGGUCCUUUUUAUAGUAUGGGUCUGAACCAUUGUCCAAUUUUUGUAAGCGAUGUGGGACAUUGUACAAUCGUAAUUAUUAUCUACCUGAAACCCGUCCUACCAUAUAACCCAGUUCCGUGAAAUUAAACAUAAUUUUUUCAUUUUCUUAUAAAUUUCAAUAUUAUAAAAUUUGAAACUUAGAAAAAAUACAAUAUCAACCUUGA